AUGUUGUGCCAUGCGGUCAGUUUAAUUCCCUUUACUGGCUUUAGGCUAGCUAUGGCAUCUCCAGGGUAUUUUGGUGACGGUCCUCCGAUGCGCGAGCGUGACCCGUACUUCACUGAGGUCAUCAGCCAGAGGAUGCGCGUGCCUGAGCGGCUGAGGUUCGGUCCAGCGCCUCACGCGCUCUCACCUGCAGACCAAAGACACGAAGAGCUCCCUGCUGCCUACAGCAUGCACAUCCCAGACAGACUGGCCUUAACAGAUGCUCCUGAUCUGAGUCCACGACCUCUCUUCACUAAGCACACUUCAUCAGUGUGGGACCUGCAGCAUGGGUCCUGGGACAGGGAGGCCUUCAUGAGGGAGCCUGUCCAGAGUCCACUGCGAAGGUCUUACAGCGACCAGGCCUUUGGUCGAACCCCACCUGGAACCCCCACACACUCCAGACAAACACUGCACUCCCAGUCUCCGUUUGGUUACCCAGAAACCCUUCCCUCUCAGGCUGUGGAGGUUCAACCUGAUCAAAGCAGGACAAGUGCCUCGCAGGAGUUCUGGCUCAGUCCUGAAGAGGACCCAGGUACUGCUGUCGAGUUCAUGGUGCUCCGCAGACAGGUGCUGAAGAUGAGCAGGAGGAUAGCAGGGCUGGAGAGACAGAACGCAGAGCACAGACAGACCGAGCUGCUGCUGUUCUCUCUGUUACUGUCUGCCUGUCUGAUCAACGGCUGGCUGUGGAUGCGCAGAUGACGGCUCACACUAUACAGACAGCACUAUAAGAGCAGCAGCGCUGUACAUCACUGCACAUUUUUCUAUAGAGAUUUACUCAAUUCGUUCUCAUAAAAAUGAUGGUCAGUGGAUGGUUUAGAAACCACUGUCAUUAGAAUGAGGCGUUAAUCUCUGAACCUUCCACUCAGAUGUGUCACGUGAUCACAGUAGGGACAUGGGCCACUUUGCAUUACAAGUGAUUUGAGCAUGUUUUUCACUGAUGAUGUCAUUCAGUAAUGCAGUCCCUCUGGCUCUUUUGAUCAGACUAGUAGCUAGUUUUUUGUAUUUGAUUUAUUCUGCAGAUUAAGUAAAUGCUGAGAUUUUCUGCAUGCUUUAGCAGUAUUUAUGAAAAUAUAAAUAUGAAUGUUUAUAUGUAUAUUUCAAUUUUUUCUUGCAGUUAGGCAUUCGAAUAGCCUUCAUCCUUUUUAACUCAUUUCCCCAGCCUGAUGUAUGCUGAAUAUUUAAAAUAAUAAAAGUUGUAAUUACUCUCA
Molecule: long non-coding RNA, 1244 nt
Organism: Cyprinus carpio (common carp)
Lineage: Eukaryota; Metazoa; Chordata; Actinopteri; Cypriniformes; Cyprinidae
Source: Ensembl